Long non-coding RNA from Triticum aestivum (bread wheat), 1139 nucleotides. RefSeq lists it as uncharacterized. The transcript has 6 exons. NCBI's taxonomy places the organism in Eukaryota, Viridiplantae, Streptophyta, Magnoliopsida, Poales, Poaceae. The record is from RefSeq and is a predicted model, not a curated record.
CGUACGAUCCCCUCACCCCCGAUUUUCUUUCCCCCGUCCCAGUCCCACCUCUCGUAGGACCCAUUCGAUUUUCUUUCCCCCAUCCCGGUUUUCUCCCUCUGGCCUGCUCCUCACGCCGGCGUUCCGCGCCGCCGCUGCCGACUGCUCCUCACGCCGGCAUCCCGCGCUGCCGUUGCCGACCUCCAGCCGUCGUCCAAAACAACGGCAGCAUGGAUCCUGAUGUGGAGCUCCACUACGGCCCGAUCUGACCUGGGAGCGACCAGAUCCGUGCGUCUCCGCCUCGCUUCACGCGCCUCCAUGGUCCGCCGUCUUCCCGAGCGCCGGCGCCGCGCUCAGCCGCCGCCGUCCCAUGCCAUGGUAGCCUCCCCUCCAGAACGAUGUGUCAUGGCCGCCUCCCUGCCUCUCCCGCAGAGUUAACUCCCACCCGUACAUGAGCCCCAAGGCACCACGCGAUUCUGAUGAUACACGAACACUGGGUCGGUCCUCUAUCCGGCAGCUCCGUUGGGGAAGCACCAAGAUCCAAACUCCAAGUAUCCGUGGAUAUAGGGAACAGUUAUGGUACAAAUAGACUUGAUUGUACUGACAAUUUUCAGCUUGCACAUGGAUCCCUUAUAGUAUGCAAUCAAGCUUGAUGAUAAAUUCUUGGAGAGACGCUAGGUGCCAGCUGCUCACUGUGCGCAUGGGAUAGGAGGUCAUGCGUGGAGGCUACUCGGAGAGGACUGUAUGCAUGUCCGUGUCCGCGCACUUGGAGCAGCAGCCAAUGGAUGGUCGGCCAGAGGAGGACCAGGGUUGGAGAUUUGGGAUCAGAGACGCCAAGAACAAGGGACCAAGGUGCUGAACUAACGGCACGGGCAGAAUGAUUCUUCAGGUACCAACAUAGUCGUCGACUAGAGAAUUAAGUUAACUGUUUGAUUUACUUGAAGCUCCAAAUUGUAGUUAUUUUAUUCAUUCACUAAUUUGGUAUAAUCCUAAUCUAGGAGGAUUAUCACUGUAUGAUAUGAGAUCUGGACGUUUAGCAAUGAUAAAACUCUGACAUUGGAUGGUUCUUUUCUGAAGUAUAGUUGUAAGAUCUAUGAUUCUAGCUUCGACCUUUAACUGGACAGUACUAAUUGGACAUAUAAUUGAUAAAUUAUGCACAA